AAAUGCAGAAGCUGCUGCGCGGGAGUCGGCCAUGGACUGGAAAGAAGUUCUUCGUCGGCGCUUAGCGACGCCCAACACCUGUCCAAACAAAAAAAAAAGUGAACAAGAAUUAAAAGAUGAAGAAAUGGAUUUAUUUACAAAAUAUUACUCCGAAUGGAAAGGAGGUAGAAAAAACACAAAUGAAUUCUAUAAGACCAUUCCCCGGUUUUAUUAUAGGCUGCCUGCUGAAGAUGAAGUCUUACUACAGAAAUUAAGAGAGGAAUCAAGAGCUGUCUUUCUACAAAGAAAAAGCAGAGAACUGUUAGAUAAUGAAGAAUUACAGGAUUUAGAAAACUACAUAUUGGAACUUAUCCCUACGUUGCCACAAUUAGAUGGUCUGGAAAAAUCUUUCUACUCCUUUUAUGUUUGUACAGCAGUUAGGAAGUUCUUCUUCUUUUUAGAUCCUUUAAGAACAGGUAAAAGAAAAUCUUAUCUAACUUAGAUAUUAUGAGGAUAUUAUUAUAUCUAAAUCUCAAUAACUAGAGAAAACUCUUGAAAAAUAUCAUUUAUUUUCCUGUCACUGCCAUUAAAAAUUUGGUGAAUUUCAAGGAGAUAAAAAGGUAGAAAAAACAGUAGCAGUACUUUGGUUAUGUUUAUCUGAAGAUCUUUUAUGAUUUAAUUGCACUGACCAUAACCUGCUGUGUGACAGAUGGAGGGACAUCACCUAACAGUGAAGAAGUAUGAAGUGGGUAGUCAGUCAUAAAUACCUCCUUCCAGUUCUAGGAAGCCAGUUAUUUGCAUAUAAUUUGCUGUCUCUGCUGUGUGACAUACUGCAGAAUUAUUCUCUUUUUGAUGAAAAAUAUGUAUUUGGAAAUAUGAGAGCCAUUUAGCCAGUGAUGCAUAUUUUUCUUAUUCUCUAUAAGGAUCGGAUUGGUAAAUAUGGCCUCAUUAACAGUUUGUUUUAUUAACUGUUCAAACCUGCCCAGACUUAACUACAUGUAACUGGAGC
RNAcentral lists this small RNA (988 nucleotides) under Pan troglodytes (chimpanzee). Its description in RNAcentral is "retained intron". The record is from RNAcentral. Lineage: Eukaryota; Metazoa; Chordata; Mammalia; Primates; Hominidae.